AACAUUGUAUAUAGCAUGAUUUUAGUUGGUAAACAACAUGUUUUCAUGUUUAAGAUUCAUGUUGAAAAUCAUGUUUUAUUCAGAAAAAUUGUUUUUGGUCACUGCCUAAAGAUAAUCGAUUGUUUUCUUAAACAAUCGAUUAUCCCUCAAGUUUAAAAUUCUGGCAGUUUUUUUUGAAACACCAGAAUAAUCGAUUGUAUAAACGAUACAAUCGAUU
RNAcentral lists this long non-coding RNA (217 nucleotides) under Nicotiana benthamiana. Its description in RNAcentral is "long non-coding RNA (NBEN_LNC036788)". Lineage: Eukaryota; Viridiplantae; Streptophyta; Magnoliopsida; Solanales; Solanaceae. The record is from RNAcentral.